This 865-nucleotide long non-coding RNA is filed under the name Sorghum bicolor (sorghum). RNAcentral describes it as "long non-coding RNA (SBIC_LNC003830)". The record is from RNAcentral. Lineage: Eukaryota; Viridiplantae; Streptophyta; Magnoliopsida; Poales; Poaceae.
GCGGCAGUGAAAAUAUGUUUCCACUGAUGGUUUUUGAGUCGGGACUACCGAUUUUUUUUUCAUAGACAUUUUUUUAAUUGAAACCGUCUGUAAAAAUUAUGCUCCACUGUCAGCAAAGAGCUUUUACCACCGUGACAAACAAGAGGCCUAGGUCUAGGCCAAGCUUAACGCCCGUCCCUAUAAGCCUCUUUUUAGAACACAGGAAAUUAUCCCUGUUCCUUAGUUUUUUUUUUAAGUUAAACUAUUUUCUAUGAAAUUUUUGUUUUUAACACCUUAGCCUUCUAGCUAGGCCGCUAUAUUUAGAGUGAAAUUCAUCAGAGGUAUCUAAAGUGGUCUCAGAUAUCAUCUAGAUCCUUAAAGUUUCAAAAUUCAUUUAUUAUUUUUAUUAUUAUUUUGACCAUCUUAAUGAUCUCAAAUAGAUUUCAUCAAGAGCUAUAAUUUUUAUAUAAAAAUUAUCUUAAUUUGAAACUGUAUGAAAAAAAAAUGAUUUUUCUAAUGUUGAACCUUGCUGCUGACAUGUAAGUCCCAUCUAUCAUGUCCACAUAAGUGAUGAAUCCACAUGCCACGUCAGUCAUUAGGUCGAGUAAACACCCGUUUGAACCUGGACGAGAUCUGAACCAAUUUUAAAGACUUAAAAUGCAUUUUGAGAUUGGAUACCUAUAUAACACCUCUAGAUAACUUUAGAAACCUCUGAUGAAUUUCACUCUUUUUUUUGCUACAACAUCUAGCUUGCUCUUGUCUUCUAUCACGGGGGAUGAAGAAUACGAGAGGUCCUUGAUACCAGGAGCGCCUUCGUGAUGAGGGGGCAAAAAAAAAUCAAAUGGUUGGGUCGCUUUAGAAGUCCUAAAAUUCAAUUUAUGCCUUG